RNAcentral lists this ribosomal RNA (1550 nucleotides) under Salmonella enterica subsp. enterica serovar Adjame. RNAcentral's name for it is "bacterial SSU rRNA". It matches the Rfam family "Bacterial small subunit ribosomal RNA". The record is from RNAcentral. Lineage: Bacteria; Pseudomonadati; Pseudomonadota; Gammaproteobacteria; Enterobacterales; Enterobacteriaceae.
AAAUUGAAGAGUUUGAUCAUGGCUCAGAUUGAACGCUGGCGGCAGGCCUAACACAUGCAAGUCGAACGGUAACAGGAAGCAGCUUGCUGCUUCGCUGACGAGUGGCGGACGGGUGAGUAAUGUCUGGGAAACUGCCUGAUGGAGGGGAUAACUACUGGAAACGGUGGCUAAUACCGCAUAACGUCGCAAGACCAAAGAGGGGGACCUUCGGGCCUCUUGCCAUCAGAUGUGCCCAGAUGGGAUUAGCUUGUUGGUGAGGUAACGGCUCACCAAGGCGACGAUCCCUAGCUGGUCUGAGAGGAUGACCAGCCACACUGGAACUGAGACACGGUCCAGACUCCUACGGGAGGCAGCAGUGGGGAAUAUUGCACAAUGGGCGCAAGCCUGAUGCAGCCAUGCCGCGUGUAUGAAGAAGGCCUUCGGGUUGUAAAGUACUUUCAGCGGGGAGGAAGGUGUUGUGGUUAAUAACCGCAGCAAUUGACGUUACCCGCAGAAGAAGCACCGGCUAACUCCGUGCCAGCAGCCGCGGUAAUACGGAGGGUGCAAGCGUUAAUCGGAAUUACUGGGCGUAAAGCGCACGCAGGCGGUCUGUCAAGUCGGAUGUGAAAUCCCCGGGCUCAACCCCGGGAACUGCAUUCGAAACUGGCAGGCUUGAGUCUUGUAGAGGGGGGUAGAAUUCCAGGUGUAGCGGUGAAAUGCGUAGAGAUCUGGAGGAAUACCGGUGGCGAAGGCGGCCCCUGACAAAGACUGACGCUCAGGUGCGAAAGCGUGGGGAGCAAACAGGAUUAGAUACCCUGGUAGUCCACGCCGUAAACGAUGUCUACUUGGAGGUUGUGCCCUUGAGGCGUGGCUUCCGGAGCUAACGCGUUAAGUAGACCGCCUGGGGAGUACGGCCGCAAGGUUAAAACUCAAAUGAAUUGACGGGGGCCCGCACAAGCGGUGGAGCAUGUGGUUUAAUUCGAUGCAACGCGAAGAACCUUACCUGGUCUUGACAUCCACAGAACUUUCCAGAGAUGGAUUGGUGCCUUCGGGAACUGUGAGACAGGUGCUGCAUGGCUGUCGUCAGCUCGUGUUGUGAAAUGUUGGGUUAAGUCCCGCAACGAGCGCAACCCUUAUCCUUUGUUGCCAGCGGUUAGGCCGGGAACUCAAAGGAGACUGCCAGUGAUAAACUGGAGGAAGGUGGGGAUGACGUCAAGUCAUCAUGGCCCUUACGACCGUGGCUACACACGUGCUACAAUGGCGCAUACAAAGAGAAGCGACCUCGCGAGAGCAAGCGGACCUCAUAAAGUGCGUCGUAGUCCGGAUUGAGUCUGCAACUCGACUCCAUGAAGUCGGAAUCGCUAGUAAUCGUGGAUCAGAAUGCCACGGUGAAUACGUUCCCGGGCCUUGUACACACCGCCCGUCACACCAUGGGAGUGGGUUGCAAAAGAAGUAGGUAGCUUAACCUUCGGGAGGGCGCUUACCACUUUGUGAUUCAUGACUGGGGUGAAGUCGUAACAAGGUAACCGUAGGGAACCUGCGGUUGGAUCACCUCCUUACCUUAAAGAAGC